GACGAACGCUGGCGGCGUGCUUAACACAUGCGAGUCGAACGGAAAGGCCCUGCUUUUGUGGGGUGCUCGAGUGGCGAACGGGUGAGUAACACGUGAGUAACCUGCCCUUGACUUUGGGAUAACUUCAGGAAACUGGGGCUAAUACCGGAUAGGAGCUCCUGCUGCAUGGUGGGGGUUGGAAAGUUUCGGCGGUUGGGGAUGGACUCGCGGCUUAUCAGCUUGUUGGUGGGGUAGUGGCUUACCAAGGCUUUGACGGGUAGCAGGCCUGAGAGGGUGACCGGCCACAUUGGGACUGAGAUACGGCCCAGACUCCUACGGGAGGCAGCAGUGGGGAAUAUUGCACAAUGGGCGGAAGCCUGAUGCAGCAACGCCGCGUGCGGGAUGACGGCCUUCGGGUUGUAAACCGCUUUCGCCUGUGACGAAGCGUGAGUGACGGUAAUGGGUAAAGAAGCACCGGCUAACUACGUG
Molecule: ribosomal RNA, 468 nt
Filed under: uncultured bacterium
Lineage: Bacteria
Description: partial 16S ribosomal RNA
Rfam family: Bacterial small subunit ribosomal RNA
Source: RNAcentral